RNAcentral lists this small RNA (629 nucleotides) under Pongo abelii (Sumatran orangutan). RNAcentral's name for it is "processed transcript". Lineage: Eukaryota; Metazoa; Chordata; Mammalia; Primates; Hominidae. The record is from RNAcentral.
GGGGAUGGGGAUGUUGAAUUUGGAAAUUCGAGGGGACGCUGGUGGACGGCACCACCUGUAAUCUACUAUGUCCCUGACUUCAUCUCCAAAGAAGAGGAGGAGUAUUUGCUUCGACAGCACCAUCAGCCUGGGCUCCCACACCGUGCUAGACUUCUACGAGCCACGGCGGCCAGAGGACGAUGACCCUACAGAACAGCCUCGGCCUCCGCCCCGGCCCACCACCUCGCUACUGCUGGAACCGCGCAGCCUGCUGGUGCUCCGCGGCACCGCCUACACGCGCUUCCUCCACGGCAUCGCCGCCGCCCGCGUAGACGCGCUGGACACCGCCUCCCCGCCGCCCAAUGCGGCAGCCUGCCCGUCGGCGCGGCCGGGAGCCUGCCUGGUGCGCGGCACCCGGGUCUCACUGACCAUCCGCCGCGUGCCCCGCGUGCUGCGCGCCGGCCUCCUGCUGGGCAAGUGACCGCCAGGGCCGGGACCCCUCGGAUUCCCAGGUUCCUGCCCCCUUGGGGCUGCUGUGACUCUGCGACCUAGGAACCGUGGGCAGAGGGGGCUCCCCUGGGUUAUUUAUUUUCCCAAUAAUUUUGUGUGAGCUACAGAAGACCCCAUACCAAAUAAACAAAAAAUCUUUC